Long non-coding RNA from Podarcis raffonei (Aeolian wall lizard), 873 nucleotides. RefSeq lists it as uncharacterized. The transcript has 3 exons. Lineage: Eukaryota; Metazoa; Chordata; Lepidosauria; Squamata; Lacertidae. The record is from RefSeq and is a predicted model, not a curated record.
GCCUUUAAUGUUUUAAUCUGUUGGAAGGAAAUGAUAGGACUAGGUACCGUCUUUGAUGUUCAACAUUGUUUCAAGAAAGUGAGGCAUUGGGAGAGGGUGGCUAAUGAAUAAUCUCCACAUAGCUAGCGAUCUGCAAGCCACACAGGUUUCCUAUCUAUAAAUCGGAUAGUUGAGGCAGAGUGUUAGAAAGAAGCUUGUGCACAGACUGACGACUGCAAGGCUGUGCAAACUAAGGCUACCUGGGGGAGUCAAUUUGCCACUUCUUGAGGGCUUCCAAGUGGCAGACUGGGGUGCUUGCUUGGGUUUCCAAAUCUUGUUACAUUUGCAAAAGCAGCAUCAUUAGUUCUGAGCUAGGUGUAUGCAUCUGAACUGCCUGCUGGUCCAAGAAGGCAUUCCUCUAGAAAAGUACAGAAGAUCACUUUCAGAACAUGAAUGAGCAGAUGUUGUGUGAAGAAGUGGACCAAGAAUGUUGACCUCACCUCUUCCUUUGAGACAAAGGAACAACCAAUGCAACUGACUAGAAUCUGAAGAAGGCCAUCUGAAAUACUCAAGAUAUAUAUAUUUUUUUAUGAUAUGUGAUUAUAUAUGGGCUCCUUACAGACUUCCAUGCAAGUACUGACUGCACAAUUCACUUCAUUGUAAGGGUCUGUUCCAAAAGACGUGCAGAACCCAGUGCAAAAUACUGUGUGCACAUCAGAACUCUGUAUCCUUAACCCAAACUAAGGUCACUAGCAGCCUGCAAACUUCAUUCAGGUGGUCUGUGAAGAACAGCAGGAGCAGCAACUACAGGGGGCAGGCACAUUCAUUCUGAUCUUUAGUUUUCUCUUUAUUGCUUCUUUUGCUUCUUAGCUUCUUAAUAUGAUUUAUUAUUGU